This 237-nucleotide ribosomal RNA is filed under the name uncultured bacterium. Its description in RNAcentral is "partial 16S ribosomal RNA". It matches the Rfam family "Bacterial small subunit ribosomal RNA", at positions 118 to 354 of the family's 1533-position model. The record is from RNAcentral.
UGAGCAAUCUGCCCUUCUCUUUGGAAUAAGCGUUGGAAACGACGUCUAAUGCCGAAUACGACCUCCUUUCGCAUGAUCGGAGGUGGAAAGCUCCGGCGGAGAAGGAUGAGUUCGCGGCCUAUCAGCUAGUUGGUGUGGGUAAUGGCCCACCAAGGCGACGACGGGUAGCCGGCCUGAGAGGGUGACCGGCCACACUGGGACUGAGACACGGCCCAGACUCCUACGGGAGGCAGCAGG